GAUGAACGCUGGCGGCGUGCCUAAUACAUGCAAGUCGAGCGAACGGACGAGAAGCUUGCUUCUCUGAUGUUAGCGGCGGACGGGCGAGUAACACGUGGAUAACCUACCUAUAAGACUGGGAUAACAUCGGGAAACCGGAGCUACUACCGGAUAAUAUUUUCAACGGGAUGGUUCAAAAGUGAAUGACGGCCUUGCUGUCACUUAUAGACGGAUCCGCGCUGGAUUAGCUAGUUGGUAAGGUAACGGCUUACCAAGGCAACGAUGCAUAGCCGACCUGAGAGGGUGAUCAGCCACACUGGAACUGAGACACGGUCCAGACUCCUACGGGAGGCAGCAGUAGGGAAUCUUCCGCAAUGGGCGAAAGCCUGACGGAGCAACGCCGCGUGAGUGAUGAAGGUCUUCGGAUCGUAAAACUCUGUUAUUAGGGAAGAACAUAUGUGUAAGUAACUGUGCACAUCUUGACGGUACCUAAUCAGAAAGCCACGGCUAACUACGUG
This 497-nucleotide ribosomal RNA is filed under the name uncultured bacterium. RNAcentral describes it as "partial 16S ribosomal RNA". It matches the Rfam family "Bacterial small subunit ribosomal RNA", at positions 28 to 507 of the family's 1533-position model. The record is from RNAcentral.